Molecule: ribosomal RNA, 700 nt
Filed under: uncultured Nitrospira sp.
Lineage: Bacteria; Pseudomonadati; Nitrospirota; Nitrospiria; Nitrospirales; Nitrospiraceae
Description: bacterial SSU rRNA
Rfam family: Bacterial small subunit ribosomal RNA
Source: RNAcentral
AAGUCGAGCGAGAAGACGUAGCAAUACGUUUGUAAAGCGGCGAACGGGUGAGGAAUACAUGGGUAACCUACCCUCGAGUGGGGAAUAACUAGCCGAAAGGUUAGCUAAUACCGCAUACGACUCCUGGUCUGUGGAUCGGGAGGGAAAGCGAUACCGUGGGUAUCGCGCUCUUGGAUGGGCUCAUGUCCUAUCAGCUUGUUGGUGAGGUAAUGGCUCACCAAGGCUUCGACGGGUAGCUGGUCUGAGAGGACGAUCAGCCACACUGGCACUGCGACACGGGCCAGACUCCUACGGGAGGCAGCAGUAAGGAAUAUUGCGCAAUGGGCGACAGCCUGACGCAGCGACGCCGCGUGGGGGAUGAAGGUCUUCGGAUUGUAAACCCCUUUCGGCAGGGAAGAUGGAACGGGUAACCGUUCGGACGGUACCUGCAGAAGCAGCCACGGCUAACUUCGUGCCAGCAGCCGCGGUAAUACGAAGGUGGCAAGCGUUGUUCGGAUUUACUGGGCGUACAGGGAGCGUAGGCGGUUGGGUAAGCCCUUCGUGAAAUCUCCGGGCCUAACCCGGAAAGUGCGGAGGGGACUGCUCGGCUAGAGGAUGGGAGAGGAGCGCGGAAUUCCCGGUGUAGCGGUGAAAUGCGUAGAGAUCGGGAGGAAGGCCGGUGGCGAAGGCGGCGCUCUGGAACAUUUCUGACGCUGAGGCU